Molecule: ribosomal RNA, 636 nt
Filed under: uncultured bacterium
Lineage: Bacteria
Description: bacterial SSU rRNA
Rfam family: Bacterial small subunit ribosomal RNA
Source: RNAcentral
GCUCAACCGGGGAGGGUCAUUGGAAACUGGGGAACUUGAGUGCAGAAGAGGAGAGUGGAAUUCCACGUGUAGCGGUGAAAUGCGUAGAGAUGUGGAGGAACACCAGUGGCGAAGGCGACUCUCUGGUCUGUAACUGACGCUGAGGCGCGAAAGCGUGGGGGCGAACAGGAUUAGAUACCCUGGUAGUCCACGCCGUAAACGAUGAGUGCUAAGUGUUAGAGGGUUUCCGCCCUUUAGUGCUGCAGCAAACGCAUUAAGCACUCCGCCUGGGGAGUACGGUCGCAAGACUGAAACUCAAAGGAAUUGACGGGGGCCCGCACAAGCGGUGGAGCAUGUGGUUUAAUUCGAAGCAACGCGAAGAACCUUACCAGGUCUUGACAUUCUCUGACAACCCUAGAGAUAGGGCUUCCCCUUCGGGGGCAGAGUGACGGGUGGUGCAUGGUUGUCGUCAUCUCGUGUCGUGAGAUGUUGGGUUAAGUCCCGCAACGAGCGCAACCCUUGAUCUUAGUUGCCAGCAUUCAGUUGGGCACUCUAAGGUGACUGCCGGUGACAAACCGGAGGAAGGUGGGGAUGACGUCAAAUCAUCAUGCCCCUUAUGACCUGGGCUACACACGUGCUACAAUGGGCAGAACAAAG